UUGCAGCCAAUCAAGCUUACCAAGCUCCUUUCCACAUAGAUAGAGGCUGAGUGAGCAAAGGCCGCAAAUAGUGGCCUCCUUGGGAGUACAUUCAGCCUGUUGCCUAGGCAGGUAGCCUAAGAUAACUUAUAAACAAUU
Small nucleolar RNA from Grammomys surdaster, 138 nucleotides. RefSeq annotates it as small nucleolar RNA SNORA70. The record is from RefSeq and is a predicted model, not a curated record. The transcript has a single exon. NCBI's taxonomy places the organism in Eukaryota, Metazoa, Chordata, Mammalia, Rodentia, Muridae.